GUAUGGAAUGCUACAUUUACAUUGGUAAUGGUCGGGAUAGCUCAGCUGGUAGAGCAGAGGACUGAAAAUC
RNAcentral lists this transfer RNA (70 nucleotides) under Bacopa aubletiana. RNAcentral's name for it is "Conobea aquatica partial tRNA-Phe". The record is from RNAcentral. Lineage: Eukaryota; Viridiplantae; Streptophyta; Magnoliopsida; Lamiales; Plantaginaceae.